Molecule: ribosomal RNA, 253 nt
Filed under: uncultured bacterium
Lineage: Bacteria
Description: partial 16S ribosomal RNA
Rfam family: Bacterial small subunit ribosomal RNA
Source: RNAcentral
UACGAAGGGGGCUAGCGUUGUUCGGAUUUACUGGGCGUAAAGCGCACGUAGGCGGAUCGUUAAGUCGGGGGUGAAAUCCUGGAGCUCAACUCCAGAACUGCCUUCGAUACUGGCGAUCUUGAGUCCGGAAGAGGUGAGUGGAACUCCUAGUGUAGAGGUGGAAUUCGUAGAUAUUGGGAAGAACACCGGUGGCGAAGGCGGCGAGCUGGUCCAUUACUGACGCUGAGGCGCGACAGCGUGGGGAGCAAACAGG